Molecule: long non-coding RNA, 452 nt
Organism: Bos taurus (domestic cattle)
Lineage: Eukaryota; Metazoa; Chordata; Mammalia; Artiodactyla; Bovidae
Source: Ensembl
GGCAAGAAUACUGGAGCAGUUUGCUCUGCCCUCCUCCAGGGGAUCUUCCCGACCCAGGGAUGGAACCUGUGUCUCUUAUGUCUUCUGCAUUGGCAGAUAGGCCAAGAGUCACACUGUCCUAGGAAAGGAGAAGUUAGAGUGGACUCAGAGGUAAUCCAAGGAAAGUUCCUAUAAGACAGGAACAGAAAAUAGAAGAAGAAAACAUCAGCGAGAGGUCAGAUGCUAAAGCCCUGACUUCCCCUACCCAGCUUUGCUUCACAUUGGCACCGUAAGGGCUGUGAAGAAAAAAAAAAAAAACCUCCAGAAUGUUUGGGAGAAAGAAAACCAGAGACAUUUGUACCCCAGUCUGAAUUUGAGAUUUGAAAGGAGGUUGCCUACUCGAGUAUGCCGUGUCAACAAGCAGUCUGACAGCCGCACAGAGGAAGACAAAAGGGAAGUUACACAGAAUAAAG